CUCAAGGCGUUCAUUAAUCCAAGAAACUAUGGAUCUUUCAUUGUCGCUAUCAUAACAGGCAUGGUUGUCCUUUUCUUGUAAAUGUAAUCCGUGGACGGUUGUCUUAUACAACAGAAGCUAGCGUUUUCUUUCUACAAUUGGUACUGCAAUGAAAUGCCUCAAUUUUGCCUGUAUGUUUUGAACAGUAUCAAAGUCUGUGAUUUCCUCAUGUCGUCCAAUUCAUCUUCUGAGUCAUGGCAUCAUUGUACUCCAGAAAUUAGUAUCUCACAACUUCAGAUUUGUUAAUAACACCAGCAAAAUUCAGGGCAGUGAUGUGAUUCACAGCUGUAGCCACAUAGCACAUAUAUGUCUUGCCGAUGUCGGCAUAAGAUCGGAAGAUUGAAAGCGGUUUAGAGCGUCUAGUGGAGGUCAGCUGUAUGUAUGAACGAUCAAAAGAAAUGUGUGGCCAGGAAAUGAGUCUGCGAUGGGCGGUUCUAUGCGUUUAAACUGUACAAUCCUGCGCAGUCUUUUCCAUGGCCCUUUAUUUCAUGCCUUAAGUCCGAUACUGACCUCAUCCGGCUACAAUAUAUUUUUGAUACAAAACAAUUUUCCUUGGAACAUAUGGUACUCAAACUCGAAAUCAAGUUAGCUAGCUUAGUUAUAUUUAUAGGUAAGCAAAUUGGCCUUUCGUCCAAAUGCAAAUUGUGUUUUAGGUAACUUAAAACAGACCUUUUGAAAAAUUUGUGUUUACAGGUAAACCGAGAUUUUGGCUUGCAACGUUGGUGUACCUCUUAUCUCCGGUUUGAUGUCAGAGUAUGCCCUGUUUUCUUUUGUUUACAUGAGGCGAUUUUUUGCAAUUGUGGACGUAGUCAAAAUAGUGCUGGUUUUAAUCUUGCUAACAGGACUUUACAUGUUUACCCAAAUGUAUAGUUACUCUUCCACUGUGCUGAGGAACAGAGGCAAAGUAGUGGUAUUCCGAUGGUCUUGCAUGACAGGCCGAAUUUAAACACUUUGUUCAGAUCUCCCCACAACCAGCCAAAGGAUGGAAGCAAUACCCAAAUAUUUUCAUAAGAUUGCCGAGCAGUGGGAGAAGUCAUGUGUGACAUCAGACCUCAACACUGACCAGGAGCAAGAAUGCCAAAGAUGCAGACAACAUAUCAAUUGAGAAAAUAUUAGUUUUUUAUUUUAUUACUUUAGCCUGAUGUAGGAAAGUAUCAAAAAGACUCAGGUCAUCAUCCUCCUCAACAGCCUCAGGAGGUGGAAGAGCAUCUUCCUUCCAACACAUCUCAACCUCUCCACUAAAAAGGCAAGGAGGCUCCUCUUAAAGCCACUCCUCCAUUGGUUGUGAGAGCAAAGACAAACCACCAGAAUGGCCUCAGUAGUGUCACUAGCCAUCCAGAUCCAAGUUCCAGGCCAGACCAGAUCACAGGCCAGACCAGAUCACGGGCCAGACCAGAACAUCAUCUGAAAGGAAUUAACUUAUAUAGACAUGUGAGUUGGAGGCCAGGAGUGGAGGUUCAACUUACAACUUCGAGUCAAAUGGAAGGAAAUAACACUCUUGGAAGUUGGUUGAAUGAGUAUAACACAAAACAACAGUACUGUAGUCCUGUUAUACUUUUAAUGUUACUCAGCCCUGUCAUUGUCUCUUCUAGCUCCAAGACCUUGUUUUCAGACCUGUGAGCAAUGUGUCCCACCAAACUCUACAGACCUCAAAGUUGUCCUCAACCAAGGACAGAAUGUUAAGCGAGAAGGUCUGCACACCGGACUUUGCAAACCAAUUGAACUGGUCCGGGAGGAUUCAACAUUUGCACAUUUUUAUAGAAGUUAAACAUCGGUGGACAAAACCAACUCAUCAUUGGAAAUGUGGAUGCUGCCCAUACUUUCCUCUGGAAAUGUAUCUUGCUGUGGUGGGAAUGUUGUUGAGCGGGGCUGCCCUCCAUCUAUUCUCUUCCCUCCCCUCCAUCUCUUUCCUUCCUCACUUCCUCUUCUGUCAUCUCCACCUCUUCUUUCCUCUUUUCUAUCCUCUCUUCCAUUAUGGUGUACUCUCUACUCUUCCAUGUACCAUUUUGGCACUCUACUUUCUGUACCACUUUGUCCCUAAUUAUCAAGACUAUUGCCUCCCCUGCCUACUGAAGUAAUGCAUACACUUCUUAUGAAAACGCAGAGCAUAGCCUUUAAGGGAUGGUACUAAUAAUUUUUGGGUUAGGAUCUUUAAGGUUUCGAGGCAUGAGAUAAAAUAUAUUUUUCCCUCACUGUAUCUACAAACUCUACCUCCUGCGACAGGCAGAACUCCGUUUUCAGCCAGUGAUUGAGUUGCACAAGUUUGCUCGUCACUACCCCUAGCUGGGAGGGUAUGUGAAGCCUUGUGUCUCUUUGUGUGAAUGUAUAACCCCCUGUGUUCAAUGUUUUUGAUUAUUCCUUUUUGUUUUGUUCGUCUUAUGUUAGUUA
Molecule: long non-coding RNA, 2427 nt
Organism: Esox lucius (northern pike)
Lineage: Eukaryota; Metazoa; Chordata; Actinopteri; Esociformes; Esocidae
Exons: 6
Source: RefSeq, a predicted model, not a curated record